This 63-nucleotide transfer RNA is filed under the name Peirates atromaculatus. RNAcentral describes it as "tRNA-His". The record is from RNAcentral. Lineage: Eukaryota; Metazoa; Arthropoda; Insecta; Hemiptera; Reduviidae.
AUCUAAAUAGUUUAAUAAGAAUAGUAAUUUGUGGAAUUACUGGUGCAUUUAUUGCUUUGGAUC